This 254-nucleotide ribosomal RNA is filed under the name uncultured bacterium. RNAcentral's name for it is "partial 16S ribosomal RNA". It matches the Rfam family "Bacterial small subunit ribosomal RNA", at positions 524 to 776 of the family's 1533-position model. The record is from RNAcentral.
UACGUAGGGUGCAAGCGUUAAUCGGAAUUACUGGGCGUAAAGCGUGCGCAGGCGGUUUUGUAAGUCAGAUGUGAAAUCCCCGGGCUUAACCUGGGAACUGCGUUUGAAACUACAAGGCUAGAGUGUGGCAGAGGGGGGGUAGAAUUCCACGUGUAGCAGUGAAAUGCGUAGAGAUGUGGAGGAAUACCAAUGGCGAAGGCAGCCCCCUGGGAUAAUAUUGACGCUCAUGCACGAAAGCGUGGGGAGCAAACAGG